GACGAACGCUGGCGGCGUGCUUAACACAUGCAAGUCGAACGGUAAAGCCCUUCGGGGUACACGAGUGGCGAACGGGUGAGUAACACGUGGGUGAUCUGCCCUGCACUUCGGGAUAAGCCUGGGAAACUGGGUCUAAUACCGGAUAGGACCACUGCCUGCAUGGGGGGUGGUGGAAAGCUUUUGCGGUGUGGGAUGGGCCCGCGGCCUAUCAGCUUGUUGGUGGGGUGAUGGCCUACCAAGGCGACGACGGGUAGCCGGCCGGAGAGGGUGACCGGCCACACUGGGACUGAGAUACGGCCCAGACUCCUACGGGAGGCAGCAGUGGGGAAUAUUGCACAAUGGGCGCAAGCCUGAUGCAGCGACGCCGCGUGAGGGAUGACGGCCUUCGGGUUGUAAACCUCUUUCAGCACCGACGAAGCGCAAGUGACGGUAGGUGCAGAAGAAGGACCGGCCAACUACGUGCCAGCAGCCGCAGUAA
This 478-nucleotide ribosomal RNA is filed under the name uncultured bacterium. RNAcentral describes it as "partial 16S ribosomal RNA". It matches the Rfam family "Bacterial small subunit ribosomal RNA", at positions 28 to 523 of the family's 1533-position model. The record is from RNAcentral.